Molecule: transfer-messenger RNA, 371 nt
Filed under: Epidermidibacterium keratini
Lineage: Bacteria; Bacillati; Actinomycetota; Actinomycetes; Sporichthyales; Sporichthyaceae
Description: Standard tmRNA
Rfam family: transfer-messenger RNA
About the family: Bacterial tmRNA, also known as 10Sa RNA or SsrA, is named for its dual tRNA and mRNA-like properties.
Source: Rfam by way of RNAcentral
GGGGGUGAAUGGUCUCGACUUCAGACGUCGCGACAGGUGAAGCGGGCCGAGGAAGGCGACGAUGAUCUCGUAAACCAUGCGUCGUAAACCAAUAAGCGCCGAAUCUAAUCAGCGCGACUUCGCCCUCGCUGCCUAAGCAGCCGGCGAGUCUGUCAGCCCGGGAGGCCUCCGACCCGGAUCCUGGCAUCGACUAGGAGGAUCACCAAUCGACCCGGUCGCGGGGUCGUGCGGGACAUCAAACAGCGACUGGGCCUGUCACUGGAUCUUGUGCACGUGAAUCCAGGGGCCGAGUAGAGACCCUGUGCACUGCGCCCGGAGAAGCCCUGUCAAACCGCUGAAGGACGCGGGUUCAAUUCCCGCCACCUCCACAA